UACGUAGGGGGCAAGCGUUGUCCGGAUUUAUUGGGCGUAAAGCGCACGCAGGCGGUCUCUUAAGUUUCGAGUGACAGGUCAGGGCUUAACUCUGACAGGCCUUGGAAAACUGGGAGACUUGAGGGCGAGAGAGGGACGCGGAAUUCCAGGUGGAGCGGUGAAAUGCGUAGAUAUUGGGAGGAACACCAGUGGCGAAGGCGGCUCACUGGACCGGAACUGACGCUGAGGCGCGAAAGCGUGGGGAGCAAACAGG
Molecule: ribosomal RNA, 253 nt
Filed under: uncultured bacterium
Lineage: Bacteria
Description: partial 16S ribosomal RNA
Rfam family: Bacterial small subunit ribosomal RNA
Source: RNAcentral